GUGGUGAGUGUCAUCUCUAGGUGGGGCCUUUAAGGAGCAGGUGAACUUCUCCACCCUGAGGGCAAUCUAGCUGCAGAAGGCUCCCAAGGUCCCGGAGUUUGGUGGAGCCAUAACCUGUAAGCUACCUGGCUCACCACAUGAAGGAACUCCAGCCAGGAACACCUGCUUUGGACUAUUACGGAUAUUCUCCGAAUUUUCCCCGGCAAUGACCCCUGUGGAGCCUGACCCACUGAAACUCUCAUUCCGUAAGAGAGCAUCAACUCAGCCUUGAGUCAGGUCUGCAAGGCUGCGUGUCCUUGGGGGCUCCUGCUCCCCGCAGCCGGCCCUGCUGUGAUUCCACCUUCUGCUGGUUGAUCGCGGCUUCUGGGCUCUGCUCUCCCUCAAACCCUGCAUCCCAACAGCUGGUGCCAAGUGAAAGAAGCCAUUCACAAGACAAUACCUCCUGCGAGAUGCUCUUUAUGUUAAGAACAGGCAGCUAGCUAUCCGUCAUCUAAGGUGCUGGAACUCAGAACCGUGGUUGCCUUCAGGGGUGGAGGGGAUGACGGGGAAGGCGCCGUAGGAAACUUCCUGAGAGGAUGGAAAUGUUUCGUACCUUGAUGGGGCUAUUGAUUACACAGGCGUAUACAUUUGUAAAGACUCGGUAAACCGUAUGUUAAGACCUGUGUGUUUCACUGUGUGUAAGCCAUGCCUCAAUAAAAUUAGCUUAAUGAAAA
This is a long non-coding RNA of Felis catus (domestic cat), 713 nucleotides long. RefSeq lists it as uncharacterized. The transcript has 3 exons. The record is from RefSeq and is a predicted model, not a curated record. NCBI's taxonomy places the organism in Eukaryota, Metazoa, Chordata, Mammalia, Carnivora, Felidae.